Molecule: ribosomal RNA, 305 nt
Filed under: uncultured bacterium
Lineage: Bacteria
Description: partial 16S ribosomal RNA
Rfam family: Bacterial small subunit ribosomal RNA
Source: RNAcentral
CCCUACGGGGGGCAGCAGUGGGGGAUAUUGCACAAUGGGGGGAACCCUGAUGCAGCGACGCCGCGUGGGUGAAGAAGCGCCUCGGCGCGUAAAGCCCUGUCAGCAGGGAAGAAAAUGACGGUACCUGAAGAAGAAGCCGCGGCUAACUACGUGCCAGCAGCCGCGGUAAUACGUAGGGGGCAAGCGUUAUCCGGAUUUACUGGGUGUAAAGGGGGCGCAGACGGCGAUGCAAGCCAGGAGUGAAAGCCCGGGGCCCAACCCCGGGACUGCUCUUGGAACUGCGUGGCUGGAGUGCAGGAGGGGCA